CUUAGGGAGUUGUUUGUUUCAUAACGGGUACAGUCUCUAACUUAGGGAGUUGUUUGUUUCCUAACGGGUACAGUCUCUAACUUAGGGAGUUGUUUGUUUCCUAACGGGUACAGUCUCUAACUUAGGGAGUUGUUUGUUUCCUAACAGGUACAGUCUCUAACUUAGGGAGUUGUUUGUUUCCUAACAGGUACAGUCUCUAACUUAGGGAGUUGUUUGUUUCCUAACAGGUACAGUCUCUAACUUAGGGAGUUGUUUGUUUCCUAACGGGUACAGUCUCUAACUUAGGGAGUUGUUUGUUCCAGAACGGGUACAGUCUCUAACUUAGGGAGUUGUUUGUUUCCUAACGGGUACAGUCUCUAACUUAGGGAGUUGUUUGUUUCCUAACGGGUACAGUCUCUAACUUAGGGAGUUGUUUGUUUCCUAACGGGUACAGUCUCUAACUUAGGGAGUUGUUUGUUCCAGAACGGGUACAGUCUCUAACUUAGGGAGUUGUUUGUUUCCUAACGGGUACAGUCUCUAACUUAGGGAGUUGUUUGUUUCCUAACGGGUACAGUCUCUAACUUAGGGAGUUGUUUGUUUCCUAACGGGUACAGUCUCUAACUUAGGGAGUUGUUUGUUCCAGAACGGGUAC
Oncorhynchus keta (chum salmon) is the source of this 631-nucleotide long non-coding RNA. RefSeq lists it as uncharacterized. Lineage: Eukaryota; Metazoa; Chordata; Actinopteri; Salmoniformes; Salmonidae. The transcript is spliced from 3 exons. The record is from RefSeq and is a predicted model, not a curated record.